GGCGGCGUGCCUAAUACAUGCAAGUCGAGCGAGCGGAACUAACAGAUUUACUUCGGUAAUGACGUUAGGAAAGCGAGCGGCGGAUGGGUGAGUAACACGUGGGGAACCUGCCCCAUAGUCUGGGAUACCACUUGGAAACAGGUGCUAAUACCGGAUAAGAAAGCAGAUCGCAUGAUCAGCUUUUAAAAGGCGGCGUAAGCUGUCGCUAUGGGAUGGCCCCGCGGUGCAUUAGCUAGUUGGUAAGGUAAAGGCUUACCAAGGCGAUGAUGCAUAGCCGAGUUGAGAGACUGAUCGGCCACAUUGGGACUGAGACACGGCCCAAACUCCUACGGGAGGCAGCAGUAGGGAAUCUUCCACAAUGGACGCAAGUCUGAUGGAGCAACGCCGCGUGAGUGAAGAAGGUUUUCGGAUCGUAAAGCUCUGUUGUUGGUGAAGAAGGAUAGAGGUAGUAACUGGCCUUUAUUUGACGGUAAUCAACCAGAAAGUCACGGCUAACUACGUG
This 502-nucleotide ribosomal RNA is filed under the name uncultured Lactobacillus sp. RNAcentral describes it as "bacterial SSU rRNA". It matches the Rfam family "Bacterial small subunit ribosomal RNA", at positions 38 to 507 of the family's 1533-position model. Lineage: Bacteria; Bacillati; Bacillota; Bacilli; Lactobacillales; Lactobacillaceae. The record is from RNAcentral.